UAGAUGUGCAGGAGCUUGGAGGAGGAGGU
Molecule: non-coding RNA, 29 nt
Filed under: Rattus norvegicus (Norway rat)
Lineage: Eukaryota; Metazoa; Chordata; Mammalia; Rodentia; Muridae
Source: RNAcentral